UGGGGAAUUUUGGACAAUGGGGGCAACCCUGAUCCAGCAAUGCCGCGUGAGUGAUGAAGGCCUUAGGGUUGUAAAGCUCUUUUACCCGGGGAUGAUAAUGACAGUACCCGGGAGAAUAAGCUCCGGCUAACUCCGUGGC
Molecule: ribosomal RNA, 139 nt
Filed under: uncultured bacterium
Lineage: Bacteria
Description: partial 16S ribosomal RNA
Rfam family: Bacterial small subunit ribosomal RNA
Source: RNAcentral